GAUGAACGCUGGCGGCGUGCCUAAUACAUGCAAGUCGAGCGAACAGACGAGGAGCUUGCUCCGCUGACGUUAGCGGCGGACGGGUGAGUAACACGAGGAUAACCUACCUAUAAGACUGGGAUAACUUCGGGAAACCGGAGCUAAUAGCGGAUAAUAUAUUGAACCGCAUGGUGGAAUAGUGAAAGACGGUGUUGCUGGCAGUUAUAGAUGGAUCCGAGCUGCAUUAGCUAGUUGGUGAGGUAACGGCUUAUCAAGGCAACGAUGCGUAGCCGAGGUGAGAGGGUGAUCGGCCACACUGGAAGUGAGACAGGGUCCAGACUCCUACGGGACGCAGCAGUAGGGAAUCUUCCGCAGUGGGCGAGAGCUUGACGGAGCAACGCCGCGUGAGUGAUGAAGGUCUUCGGAUCGUAAAACUCUGUUAUUAGGGAAGAACAAAUGUGUAAGUAACUAUGCCCGUCUUGACGGUACUUAAUCAGAAAGCCACGGCUAACUACGUG
This 497-nucleotide ribosomal RNA is filed under the name uncultured bacterium. RNAcentral's name for it is "partial 16S ribosomal RNA". It matches the Rfam family "Bacterial small subunit ribosomal RNA", at positions 28 to 507 of the family's 1533-position model. The record is from RNAcentral.